Molecule: long non-coding RNA, 1047 nt
Organism: Centrocercus urophasianus (Greater sage-grouse)
Lineage: Eukaryota; Metazoa; Chordata; Aves; Galliformes; Phasianidae
Exons: 3
Source: RefSeq, a predicted model, not a curated record
AAAUGGAUUUAUCAGAAUUGGUCGUGGUGUGACUUCUUGGUGACUAAAAGCAAACUCAAAAAAAAAAAAAACCCAAAAAAACAGUUACCAAAGAGCCCAUGCUUUUAAAGAGAAAAUGUGUUCUGGGAAAAUUUGAACAUUUCUAAGAAUUAGGGAAAUGACAAAAUCAGAGACUUUUCCACCAAAUGCAUCUUAUUUUUCUGUGGAAGUAUCUUCAGCCAGCACAUCUUCGGUGGAACAUCUCUCCUGUUUGCUCCCUACUCCACAAGUCCAGACUCCGCAGCACUGGCUUAGCUGAUGCCCAUGCAUUUUGUCCAUGCUUAUUUUAUGUUACUCUUGUCACUUUCAGAUAUGUGUUGCCUGCAAGGCAAUUAGACAAAAAUGUCUUACUAGGAGCCAAGCACUACAUUUAUGAUGCUGUAUCUCACACUGCAGAAAAUGAAUGGAGAAGGACUAUACCAAAACACAUCAUGGUAUGGUACGCAACACAUAGAGGGAGAACUGCUUCCACUGCAACCAUGUUAAGAAGAGGGCAGCUUCAUUAAAUAUCCAAGUAGAUGAACAAAUAUAUUUGAAAGCUGUCUCUUGCGUAACGUGAAUUUAAGUUAAUGCAAUUUUUUUUUUUUUUUUUUUGCCAAUUACUUGGCACAGUGUCUCUUGUAGGACUUCUUUGAAUCAAAAUGGCUUGUAUGCCCAAUAACAGCAGCUGGAAAUUGCAGCAAUGGGGAUCUCCAUCAAUAACAUUGCAAUGGAUCUCAAAGCUCUGCUACAUCAGCUGGAAAGCUGUGCAAGAUCUGUAGUAUGCACCAAACAUGAGGAAACUUCUGCUUUUCCACCUGAACUGUGCAGAGAGUGCUGAAGCCAAGAGGCAUUACCUCCUCUCCCUUGACUUUCCUCACUAGCUCAGCUGUAGUGGGGCUGGCAGAACAUUCCCAAAGCACCUGCUGAUGCUCAUGGCUGAUUUCCUACAGCCAAAAACUACAGAUGAGUUGGUACUCAUCUGGGAGAUGAAAAGGGAAAGAACCAGUUUCAGCAAACAAGGACAAG